Molecule: long non-coding RNA, 1858 nt
Organism: Aegilops tauschii subsp. strangulata
Lineage: Eukaryota; Viridiplantae; Streptophyta; Magnoliopsida; Poales; Poaceae
Source: RefSeq, a predicted model, not a curated record
GAUCAGAUGGCGCGGAGCCCCCAAGAGGCCCCCGCGGCACGCCACCGGCAAACGGACGGCGCGGAGGCCCUCUCAGCCCUCGGUGAGCCCCAGGAAACGGGUAUUCCACUAUUCCAGCACCCCUUAUAGGAGUAAUCUAUCUCUACUACUAUAAAAAACCGAGUCGGUGAUGAUGGUGUGCCUGCCUCCUGACCAUCUCAACCAUCGGAUCUGAAACGAACGGCUUAGAUAACACUAAUGUUCUGCAGUCACAGGCUCAUAGCUCCGUCGUCCUUCUGGACCGCUGGUGCGCAGCACUCCCCGUCAUCUCUUCUAGAAAGUUCAUGCGAACUUCUGGAACCGUCCUCUCUUUUCUCCCCAACAAUACAGAGGGCGACCUUCAAGCGAACUCCAGAUCCCGCCGUCGAUACCUGUGGUCCCGCUCUGUCUGCUGGAGAGGUGGGGGACCCCGGAUCUCCAACCGGACGGUGAGGGGUUUGAGGCUUCUUGGUCUCGCAGAUCUGGUUGCCUGGGUCCCGCGAGUUCGCUGCGUUCGUCGGCGGGGUGGAGAUGCCGAGCUGGUCUUGUUUUUCUGGCAUGCGGCGUCCGCUGCGCCAUCCUGGCGUGCUCAAGAUCUCGCCUCUCGCGGCGGGCUAGAGCUGUGUCGACUCACAAAUAUACUAUGUGAUGGUACUCCUCCGGGACCGGUGGGGUGGCUGCUGCUCUGCUUCUUGUCCGGCGGCUGCGUCGACUGCAAACGGCGGAUAGCGGUGAACCUCUGGUUGGAUGAAUUGGGAUUGAAGUCCUCCUGUAUCCUGUGUAUCUGUUCCGUGUUAUCUGUAUUUGCUACCGUAUGUGUUCCAGGGUGGUUUCCUACUCAUUCAAAUACAGAUAAGCGUAUGCCUACGGGUGUACGUAUUUAUUCAGAAAAAAGAAAGGUCAUGUCGACUCUGGUCGCCAUGAUCCUCAGCGUGUAUAUGAACUGUUGCCGGCGCCCUCUGAAUCCCUAUAGCAACAGUUUGUUCUUCUACUACAAGAAUGCUGGAGGAAGGUUUCGUGGUGGUGCGAUUGGCUUAUCCAGUCUCUCGCCCCUCGGUUAUUCCUCAUAAUGCCGUCAGCUUUUCUUCCAUCUCAUCCUCUUCUCCAGUCCUUCCAAUCCUAUGCAGGAGUGGGCAGCGGCAAGAUUGUUGACUCGGGGCAGGUUUGGCGGUUGGUGUUGGCGGCGCUGGUGCACUUGGUCGGCUUCGUCGGGUGAAGAAGCUGAUGCUGGCACGGGGUGGAUCCCCAUCUGUUGCAGCCCAACGUAGAAGAUUCAGAAUCCUCAUAUGUUUGUUCCAAACACAUGGUUACCUUCCUAGAGAAAAGAAAGAAAAAAGAGCAUCGAGGAGGCAACCGCAGGCUACCUCGACCCGGAUCCCGCCGGAGGCAGCCCUACCGCGCUCCUUGACGACGCCAGGCGCGACAUCAAGCGCUGCCGCUCGCUCCACGGCUUGGCCAGCGGCAUACCCCUCUGCGCCCGUGCACUGGGCCUGGCACCCGACGCGGAGACGAGCCAGAGAUGGGGGAGCUGCAACGUCGCCGCGCUCACCUACGCCCGCAGCGCGCAGAUGAGGCUCAGCAACGCCGCGUCCUUCUACAAGGCGGCCGGGGACGCCAUCGUCUUUUUCCAAACAUAUAUGUUUGGAAGGUAACACAUGAUUUGCCUGUAAUGGAUGGAGUAGUCUGGCACUCUUUCGACCUGGCCGUAGAUCUUAAACCCCACCUUCCAGUCUUUGGCGCCGUUGAUAAUUGUUCACUGCAAUUUUUUAAAUCGGUCUCUUAUCGCCAACUCCAACGAGUUACACCCAGCCCGAUUGACAACAACUGGCAACCCCAUUUA